UUGGGUUUAAAGUGCGUGUAGGCGGCUGAGUAAGUCAGAUGUGAAAGCCCUAGGCUCAACCUAGGAAGGGCAUUUGAAACUGCUCAGCUAGAGUACGGGAGAGGGAAGUGGAAUUCCUGGUGUAGAGGUGAAAUUCGUAGAUAUCAGGAGGAACACCGGUGGCGAAGGCGACUUCCUGGACCGAUACUGACGCUGAGACGCGAAAGCGUGGGGAGCAAACAGGAUUAGAUACCCUAGUA
This 239-nucleotide ribosomal RNA is filed under the name uncultured Pseudomonadota bacterium. RNAcentral describes it as "uncultured proteobacterium partial 16S ribosomal RNA". It matches the Rfam family "Bacterial small subunit ribosomal RNA", at positions 554 to 792 of the family's 1533-position model. The record is from RNAcentral. Lineage: Bacteria; Pseudomonadati; Pseudomonadota.